AGAGUUUGAUCCUGGCUCAGAGUGAACGCUGGCGGUAGGCCUAACACAUGCAAGUCGAACGGCAGCACAGGAGAGCUUGCUCUCUGGGUGGCGAGUGGCGGACGGGUGAGGAAUACAUCGGAAUCUACUUUUUCGUGGGGGAUAACGUAGGGAAACUUACGCUAAUACCGCAUACGACCUACGGGUGAAAGCAGGGGAUCUUCGGACCUUGCGCGAUUGAAUGAGCCGAUGUCGGAUUAGCUAGUUGGCGGGGUAAAGGCCCACCAAGGCGACGAUCCGUAGCUGGUCUGAGAGGAUGAUCAGCCACACUGGAACUGAGACACGGUCCAGACUCCUACGGGAGGCAGCAGUGGGGAAUAUUGGACAAUGGGCGCAAGCCUGAUCCAGCCAUACCGCGUGGGUGAAGAAGGCCUUCGGGUUGUAAAGCCCUUUUGUUGGGAAAGAAAUCCAGCUGGUUAAUACCCGGUUGGGAUGACGGUACCCAAAGAAUAAGCACCGGCUAACUUCGUGCCAGCAGCCGCGGUAAUACGAAGGGUGCAAGCGUUACUCGGAAUUACUGGGCGUAAAGCGUGCGUAGGUGGUCGUUUAAGUCCGUUGUGAAAGCCCUGGGCUCAACCUGGGAACUGCAGUGGAUACUGGGCGACUAGAGUGUGGUAGAGGGUAGCGGAAUUNCCUGGUGUAGCAGUGAAAUGCGUAGAGAUCAGGAGGAACAUCCAUGGCGAAGGCAGCUACCUGGACCAACACUGACACUGAGGCACGA
RNAcentral lists this ribosomal RNA (760 nucleotides) under uncultured bacterium. RNAcentral's name for it is "bacterial SSU rRNA". It matches the Rfam family "Bacterial small subunit ribosomal RNA", at positions 8 to 756 of the family's 1533-position model. The record is from RNAcentral.